UGCAACUCCCCCUUAAUGAGUGCCUAGACUUUGAAUUUCAUCACAUGACUUGAGUCAUUUGGCACAAAAAGGGAUGAACUGAGGAGAUGCACAUGUACCGUAUCAACAGUGGGGUGUAAACAAACGUGUGUGACAAAUAUAUGCGAUGCAUAUGACAGUCAUGCACUUCAACAAAUAAAUAAAAAGAAUUUAUGACAGAGGGUCCGGAGAUUUCCGAAAAACACUCUGGAGAUUUCUGGACAACUCUGUCAACAACACAAACAAUCAUAUGUCUAAGCACGAUUACACCCAACCAAAAGUUCACACUCACAUAGUGUUUCACAAAUAAAGUCUUACACCAAAGAAAGAUAGAUAAAGAAAGAUACAUCCAUCCUCCUCCCAUAAAUCACUCCCCCUUUGGCAUCAAGCACCAAAAAGGAAGUGAAGAACAUUGAGAUCUACUCCCCAUCGUCAUAGUCCUCAUCAUCCUCCUCCUCCU
This 478-nucleotide long non-coding RNA is filed under the name Setaria viridis. RNAcentral describes it as "long non-coding RNA (SVIR_LNC000070)". Lineage: Eukaryota; Viridiplantae; Streptophyta; Magnoliopsida; Poales; Poaceae. The record is from RNAcentral.